CAGACUCCAAUGGCUCAGGAACCGGGCAUGCAGUGCCAGGCUCGUGGUAUCCUGCAGCAGAUGUGGGGAGCUUUCCUUCUUUAUGUUGCCAUGAAGAUGGGAGGCACUGCAGGACAAAGCCUUGAGCAGCCCUCUGAAGUGACAGCUGUCGAAGGAGCCAUUGUCCAGAUAAACUGCACGUACCAGACAUCUGGGUUUUAUGGGCUAUCCUGGUACCAGCAACAUGAUGGCAGAGCACCCACAUUUCUUUCUUACAUUGUCUGGAUGGUUUGGAGGAGAGAGGUCGUUUUUCUUCAUUCCUUAGUCGCUCUGAUAGCUAUGGUUACCUCCUUCUACAGGAGCUCCAGAUGAAAGACUCUGCCUCUUACUUCUGCGCUGUGAGAGACACAGUGACUGUGAGGCCUCCUUAA
Nomascus leucogenys (northern white-cheeked gibbon) is the source of this 410-nucleotide non-coding RNA. The record is from the annotation of a RefSeq genome assembly. NCBI's taxonomy places the organism in Eukaryota, Metazoa, Chordata, Mammalia, Primates, Hylobatidae.